Molecule: ribosomal RNA, 253 nt
Filed under: uncultured bacterium
Lineage: Bacteria
Description: partial 16S ribosomal RNA
Rfam family: Bacterial small subunit ribosomal RNA
Source: RNAcentral
UACGGGGGGGGCAAGCGUUGUUCGGAAUUACUGGGCGUAAAGGGCUCGUAGGUGGCCAACUAAGUCAGACGUGAAAUCCCUCAGCUUAACUGGGGAACUGCGUCUGAUACUGGAUGGCUUGAAUCCGGGAGAGGGAUGCGGAAUUCCAGGUGUAGCGGUGAAAUGCGUAGAUAUCUGGAGGAACACCGGUGGCGAAGGCGGCAUCCUGGACCGGCAUUGACGCUGAGGAGCGAAAGCCAGGGGAGCAAACGGG